This is a long non-coding RNA of Epinephelus lanceolatus (giant grouper), 1222 nucleotides long. RefSeq lists it as uncharacterized. NCBI's taxonomy places the organism in Eukaryota, Metazoa, Chordata, Actinopteri, Perciformes, Serranidae. The record is from RefSeq and is a predicted model, not a curated record.
AGAGAGCGAGGGCUUGAAAUAGCACUCAAAAAAGACACAGCGCAGCAAACACAGGAGAGGGACGCACAGUUGAAGUGCGUUUUUGUGAAAUGAUUUCAUGUUAUUGACAGCCGGACUUGAUUUUGUUUAUUCUUAUCCCUCUCUGUGGUGGAAUAGUUAAAGUCUGAUUGGGAAAUGUCCUGUAACGUGGAUUGAAAAUGUAAAAUCAAGGCAGCACAGCUCUGACAGAAACUUCAAGGAGGCUCAGCCUUUCUCUAAAAGAAAGAAGCGAUGCACGAGAUGAGCGUAAUGCAAGGUUAAACCUAAAGGAGACCUCAUGUCUAACUGUACAAGGCCGCAGAGAGAGUUCAGAAGCAAAACUAACUUCAGUGUGGCUGACAUUGUGCCGUCGCAUCCAGUAGACCUUCCGCCAUGGCCGCCAUGAUGAACUCCACUUGAACUCGCUUGUAUCUGUGGGAGCUGAGCAGAUCAGGUCAUGUGAUUGGACGAGGCCAGCGCUCCAUAUUUGGGAGAUUACUGAAGCCAGGUUUUGGGCUGCCAUUGCUGCCCCCGACGUGUCAGAAUAACGUAAUCGCUCCACAGGCUUUUUAAUUAUCUUAUAAUAUCUGAUGUCUCGCUGCCAGGAUGUGGGGGAUAAAAGGCCCAAAAACAGGAGGCUCCGAGGUGGACUUAUCUUUGUGUUUGUUUUGUUCUUUACUGUGAAUUAUGUUUAAUUAUUGUGAGACAGGCUGAAAGUCUAGCCUGGGUAAAUAAAUUAGAUAUGGAAUACAUUAAAAUGAUCACCAUUGUAUAAAAGGUUAUUCUCCUGCAUCAUAGUCAACCAUAAUAUAGACUGACUGGCUCAAUUGAAAAAAAAAAGUAUGUUGUGUAAAUAUGUACAACAUACAAUACUUUUUUUUUAACUCAUAUUUAAUACUUAAAUGUAUUCCAACUGUUUAUCAUUCACAAAUACACUUGUAAUAAAAGAAAACGAAUUGUUUAUUAUGAGAGAAAAAUGACCCAACCUAUUUCAAAAGUUAGUAAAGUAACAAUUCAUGGAUAAGGUCUGUUUUAAUUGUAUGCAUGUAUGCAAUACAAAUGAAUACUAUAGCACUGAUCCCUGUCUAAAUAAUAAAUUCAAAUCAAAUAUAACAUGGGGACCUAAUUCUUAUUACCCUCAUUCCUUCUUGUUACAUAGAUAUUUUUAUCUUUUUGUGUGUGUGUGUGUGUGUGUGUGUGUGUG